This is a long non-coding RNA of Odocoileus virginianus texanus, 407 nucleotides long. RefSeq lists it as uncharacterized. Lineage: Eukaryota; Metazoa; Chordata; Mammalia; Artiodactyla; Cervidae. The record is from RefSeq and is a predicted model, not a curated record.
CUGAGUUGAAUCUUCUAUUAAGUAUCCUCUGAAAGCAUUCUGAUUUUUGAAAUCAGAGAGGAUGAAAUAUGAGCAGUGCCAAGUCCUGAGCUACCAUGCCAUGAAGAGAGAGCCUACACUUUGCCAGAGUCGACUUGGCUAUGCCAGUUCCUGAGAGCUGACUGUUGUGUGGCACUUCUCAGCCCCGUGGUCAGUGAGGUCUUUGUGGCAGCGUGGACUAGGCCACAGCAAGAGUAUUUACACCACAGAACUUGGCAAAGGCUGUAAAAUAGGGAUCCUCCACCCUCUGCAGACUGUUGGUUGUGAAACAUUUCCUAGCACACUACUUAAUACGAGGAAAGAAAAAUGAAGACAUGGUCUUAUGCUCAAAGUAGCAAAUAUGACUAGUAAAGCUUAAGACGAGAAUG